RNAcentral lists this transfer RNA (78 nucleotides) under Perkinsus olseni. RNAcentral's name for it is "tRNA-Ile". The stretch from base 4 to 59 matches the Rfam family "tRNA", at positions 8 to 63 of the family's 71-position model. From Rfam's summary of the family: Transfer RNA (tRNA) molecules are approximately 80 nucleotides in length. Their secondary structure includes four short double-helical elements and three loops (D, anti-codon, and T loops). Further hydrogen bonds mediate the characteristic L-shaped molecular structure. tRNAs have two regions of fundamental functional importance: the anti-codon, which is responsible for specific mRNA codon recognition, and the 3' end, to which the tRNAs corresponding amino acid is attached (by aminoacyl-tRNA synthetases). tRNAs cope with the degeneracy of the genetic code in two manners: having more than one tRNA (with a specific anti-codon) for a particular amino acid; and 'wobble' base-pairing, i.e. permitting non-standard base-pairing at the 3rd anti-codon position. The record is from RNAcentral. Lineage: Eukaryota; Perkinsozoa; Perkinsida; Perkinsidae.
CUCUAGCUCAGUGGUUAGAGCGAUGGUCUUAUGAGCCAUAGGUCGUAGGUUUGGCCCUCGCCGGGACUACGUGAAGGA